UUAUGUGCUUUUGUCCUUUUGUGACUUUUCUUUCUGUACUUUUGGGAAGCUCGAUGUAGCGCCCAUGCAGGCAUAGUUAGGCCUGCCAGCUGUGUACUUUUACAGCUAGCCUAGCUUUUGGGCUUCUCAAAGAAGUAUUUGUCUUUGAUCCUGUCGUUUGGAUGGCCAUCCACUCCCUUAUUGUGUGAAUGUCUUGGUGUUUUUGAUUUAUUAGUUAUUUGUAUUUCAUUGUAGUACAGGAAAUUAGGUCGGCCCUACAAAGGUCAGCUUGUGUCAUCUGAGCCUUUGGUGUUAUUCCUGUUCUCUGUAUUUGUCUUUGUCUUUGUCAUUGUCUUUUGUGGUUUGUUUCUUGUUGUAGGAGUAGGGGGCGCUGCAGGGAAGGCUGGUCACCUGGUAUCGGGAGUUUAGCUUGUAGUGCCUGUGUGGGUUCACUGUGUGUUUUCCAGUACUGUUCACCUGUGUGGGUUGCGGUGGUUGCGUCUCCUAUAUCCACGUGUGGUCUUGACCUCCCUGUCCUCAGGAUAGCCUGCCUCCCUGUGAGGCAAAGCAGCAGCCAGCGGACGGUGGUAGCAGCAAACAUCCUUAUAACAACGCUUCUGGAGUAGGGGGCGCUGCAGGGAAGGCUGGUCACCUGGUAUCGGGAGUUUAGCUUGUAGUGCCUGUGUGGGUUCACUGUGUGUGUUUUCCAGUACUGUUCACCUGUGUGGGUUGCGGUGGUUGCGUCUCCUAUAUCCACGUGUGGUCUUGACCUCCCUGUCCUCAGGAUAGCCUGCCUCCCUGUGGUAAGCCCUACUCCUUCUUGUCUAAUUAAUUGUCUUGUUACAUCCCCAUCCUGUUGGGUGCAGUCAUACAUUUUAAUA
Molecule: long non-coding RNA, 860 nt
Organism: Sardina pilchardus (European sardine)
Lineage: Eukaryota; Metazoa; Chordata; Actinopteri; Clupeiformes; Clupeidae
Exons: 3
Source: RefSeq, a predicted model, not a curated record